RNAcentral lists this ribosomal RNA (483 nucleotides) under uncultured bacterium. Its description in RNAcentral is "partial 16S ribosomal RNA". It matches the Rfam family "Bacterial small subunit ribosomal RNA", at positions 30 to 507 of the family's 1533-position model. The record is from RNAcentral.
UUGAACGCUGGCGGCAGGCCUAACACAUGCAAGUCGAGCGGAUGAAGGGAGCUUGCUCCUGGAUUCAGCGGCGGACGGGUGAGUAAUGCCUAGGAAUCUGCCUGGUAGUGGGGGAUAACGUCCGGAAACGGGCGCUAAUACCGCAUACGUCCUGAGGGAGAAAGUGGGGGAUCUUCGGACCUCACGCUAUCAGAUGAGCCUAGGUCGGAUUAGCUAGUUGGUGGGGUAAAGGCCUACCGAGGCGACGAUCCGUAACUGGUCUGAGAGGAUGAUCAGUCACACUGGAACUGAGACACGGUCCAGACUCCUACGGGAGGCAGCAGUGGGGAAUAUUGGACAAUGGGCGAAAGCCUGAUCCAGCCAUGCCGCGUGUGUGAAGAAGGUCUUCGGAUUGUAAAGCACUUUAAGUUGGGAGGAAGGGCAGUAAGUUAAUACCUUGCUGUUUUGACGUUACCAACAGAAUAAGCACCGGCUAACUUCGUG